AACGAACGUUAGCGGCACGCUUAACACAUGCAAGUCGAACGAGAAGCCCUUCGGGGUGGACAGUGGCGCACGGGUGAGGAACACGUAGAUAAUCUACCCCCGAGUGGUGGAUAACGUUCCGAAAGGAACGCUAAUACAGCAUAACACCACGGCUCUUCGGAGUUUUGGCCAAAGCGGAGGACUUCUUCGGAAGCUUCGCGCUUGGGGAUGAGUCUGCGGCCCAUCAGCUUGUUGGUAGUGUAACGGACUACCAAGGCUAAGACGGGUAGCUGGUCUGAGAGGAUGGACAGCCACACUGGAACUGAGACACGGUCCAGACUCCUACGGGAGGCAGCAGUGGGGAAUCUUGCGCAAUGGGCGAAAGCCUGACGCAGCGAUGCCGCGUGAGCGAUGAAGGCCUUCGGGUUGUAAAGCUCUGUGGAUGGAGACGAAUAAGCGGUAGUUAAUACCUGCCGUGAUGACGGUAUCCAUUAGCAAGCCACCGGCUA
Molecule: ribosomal RNA, 488 nt
Filed under: uncultured bacterium
Lineage: Bacteria
Description: bacterial SSU rRNA
Rfam family: Bacterial small subunit ribosomal RNA
Source: RNAcentral